GUGCCAGCAGCCGCGGUAAUACGUAGGUGGCAAGCGUUAUCCGGAAUUAUUGGGCGUAAAGCGCGCGUAGGCGGUUUUUUAAGUCUGAUGUGAAAGCCCACGGCUCAACCGUGGAGGGUCAUUGGAAACUGGAAAACUUGAGUGCAGAAGAGGAAAGUGGAAUUCCAUGUGUAGCGGUGAAAUGCGCAGAGAUAUGGAGGAACACCAGUGGCGAAGGCGACUUUCUNGGUCUGUAACUGACGCUGAUGUGCGAAAGCGUGGGGAUCAAACAGGAUUAG
RNAcentral lists this ribosomal RNA (278 nucleotides) under uncultured Staphylococcus sp. Its description in RNAcentral is "partial 16S ribosomal RNA". It matches the Rfam family "Bacterial small subunit ribosomal RNA", at positions 505 to 781 of the family's 1533-position model. The record is from RNAcentral. Lineage: Bacteria; Bacillati; Bacillota; Bacilli; Caryophanales; Staphylococcaceae.